This is an RNA transcript of Sapajus apella (tufted capuchin), 8290 nucleotides long. It is a transcript of the gene named TSPY like 5, with no coding region annotated. The transcript has 2 exons. Lineage: Eukaryota; Metazoa; Chordata; Mammalia; Primates; Cebidae. The record is from RefSeq and is a predicted model, not a curated record.
AUUGCUCCAUUGCACUCCAGCCUGGGCAACAAGAGCAAAAUGCCGUCUCAAAAAAAAAAAAAAAAAAAAUGCUCCAAGUGAGUCUCAUCAUCAGGUAAGUGUGGGAAACACUGAUAUAUGAGGAUUAUAAAACCCAUCUUUAGGUGGACAAGCCACAGGCCUGGGGUGAUAUCUUAGAUGCAAAACAAAUCAUACUGUGCUUUUUAACCUUAGGUGCAUUUUUUUUUGCACAAUUACCAUCUUACCCAUCCCCCUUGCAACAGUACCAAGAUUUCAAUUCCAUUUUUGUCUUCUUUCCCACUAAACCCAAGUGCUUCUGGAAAGAUGACCCCCUAUUACCAGGCUCAGGGUGAGUCCUGACUAAUACAAACCAAUCAGGUAUAUUAAAUUUCCCGGGUCAAGUGUGGGUACAUAACCCAAGCAAGUCUCAUCAGGGAAAAUUUUAGGACUUGUUGCUUAGAAGGUGUCCUAGUCGGUUUGUGUUGUGAUAACAGAAUGUUUGAGGCCGGGUAACUUAUAAAGAAAAAAGGUUUAUUUGGCUCAUGAUUCUGAUGGCUGGAAAGUUAAAGAUUGGGCAUGGGCAUUUGAUGAGGGCCUCAGGCUGCUUCUACUCAUGGCAGAAAGUAAAGGAGAGCUGGCCUGUGCAGAGAUCACAUAAUGAGAGAGAAAUAAGAGAGAAUAUGGGAGGUGCUGGGUCCUUUUUAAACAGCCAGUUAUUGAGGAAGCUAAUAGAGUAAGAACACUAGCCCUUGAGAGAGGCAUUGAUCUAUUCAUGAGGGAUCCACCCCCAUGAUUGAAACACCUCCUAUUGGGGCCCACCUCUAACAUUGUAGAUCAAAUUUCAGCAUGAGGCUUGGAAGGGACAAACAUCCAAACUAUAGCAGGAGGGUGUAGUAUAAACCUGUGAGGUGUGGAACUGCUGCAGCUAUUUUGCCACCAUGAGGGAAAUAGCUUCAGAAUGACUCUGACACUAUGGUAAGCAGAGCAGAUAAUAGAAAAUAAGCCAGGCCCUUACUGACGUUAUUAAGAUGCCAAGGCUCAGCUUAUGUCUGUACUUUUCAUUUAUGGGGAUCAAAGAAUUUCUUUUAUGGUUUUAGUUACUGUGAGUUGGGUAUUUACUUGCAACAAAGAGUGCUAAUAGGUGUACUUUACACAUCUUAAAAAACCAGUAAGUUUAUUACAUUUAUUGAUGCAAAUUGAUGAAGGCAUUAAAUCCUUGGCUGAUCCUCAAACAAGAGGGAAUGGAUUUGAAUUUCAGCAAGAAGGAUUUGGGUUAGAAAGAAAGAAAGCUUUUCUUCCCAUAAAGACUUUGAGGUAUUUAAAAGGCUCACCCAGGAAAGUUUUAAGAAUUUCCUAUUCUAGAGAUUUUCAAAAAGAGAGGGUGAAUUUUCUAGGAUAAUUUCAGUCUUGUCCUGCAGAGCAGGGGAGGGAUAGAAUAAUUGCCCUCAUGUAGGAUCUCAUCUACUCCAUGGCUUUAUAAAAUUGUCCAAACUUUAUUCUGGACCUGAAUCCUGAUUUCAGUUAUGAAAUUCAUCAUCCUUGCUCUGCUAGAGUUUCUCAAAUGACAUUUCACAAACAUUCUCAUGAGCAGACCCACCCAGAUGCCUUCUCCUGAGCUGCUGAGAAACGAAAGAGUUUGUUCUCUUCCUCAUCCUUGACUAACCAGAUGUGUCACUUGGCUAGCCAGGAAUAUUUUUACUGCAAACGAUGCUGUUUCCACUGACCACAAUUCCAAAGCUGUUAAAGACAAAAACAGAAAAAACACCGUAUUCUGGUUUGUUUGAUUUUCUGAUUGGACUUAAUGAGGCAGAUAUUAUUCCAGGGCUUUAAAUCUUUCCCACUGAAAUGUCCCUCAGCACGUAAAGCCUGCUCCUUUAUUCAGUGAACACAGCAAGGGUGCAGUGGAGAUGACAGCCAAGAAAAUGAUUUUUUUUCUAUACAGGGUUCCAGAAGGACAAGAGCACUCUCCUUAUGUUGGUAGAACAGCAGUAAGGGGCUAGCUCUCAGUUUAUUUCUUCAUUUGAUAUUUAUGGUGCUAGGCAUGGGGUAGCUGGAGUUGAAUCAGACACUGUCGCUGCCAUUGACAGACUCACAGCCUAGGAACAGUCACAUCAGCAGCCGCCUGGAAGGUGAGAGGUGUGAGCACAGCGAAGGGGGAAUGAAGGGAAGGGGCCGAGGACCUGCCAGCAGGAGGCUUCUGAGAGGAGCCCAACCUGCUUGGCUCUCAGCAGAUACAUUCGCUGAAGAGAACCGAAAAUAACUCUUGUCUUGGAGUGAGAGCUAUGACCUCUUAGUCCCAGCUCUGCUUUUUUCAUUUUUUUUGUAAAUCUCAUACAAGCCACUAAAUUUUCCUGAGCUUGUUUCCUCAGCAGGAAUGCAGAGGUCAUCCACCUACCUCGUGGAGCAUGUGAAAGGGGUUUGUGAACCAUAAUGCCUGUGAAUCACUGCACAAGAUUUCCCUUUGUGAGGCCAGAGGGGAUCAGGAACCUCCUCCAAGAAGAGCCUGUGGGCAGAGGGAAACCCCAUGUGUGAGGGAGGGGACCGUCAAGGAGGAGACAAGCAGAUUCUUCAGGAAUAUGGGCCGUUGCUGGUCUCUCUUUUCAGCAUGAAAGAGCAGAAGGCUCAGGGUAUUCUAGAUGAUAGGGUCAACCAUUUCUAACAGUGGGGGGCAAAAAAUAAAAAUUCCAAUUCUCCCUCCCUGGUCUAUCAGAAAGGCUCAAAUUUUCUGCUUGGCUGUUUUUUUUUUGGCCCUUUGAAAGCUCAGUAACAUUGGACGGAACAGGCUGCAUCACCAUGGAGACAUGCACCUGCCAGUUGCUUGGCUGGGCAGGACAAGCAGGCGUGUGGAUGCUGACUCUGCACAGCCACUUCAGAGACAUCAGGAAGGCCCCAGGGUCUUGCCGUCUUCCAGGCUCUCAGGUCUUGCUUUUCACCCCCGCCCCCUUCUUAAAACGUAUUCAACAGUGUAUACAUUUCCUCUAACCGGGAUGAAGCCCUUCAUUUCCUAAUUUGCUAUAAAGGGUUAAUAUGCCAUUCCCCUGGGGGAGAAAAGAGUGACAUUCACACAAAGCUGCAAUCAGUGCCUGUGACGUCCUUUGAGAAGAGGGUUGGUAGCUAGAAGUGGGUGAAAAGAGGGCCCAGAAGUACUCAGUGUUCAGAAACCCAGAGCAAAGCCCCAAUUGCAAAAGAAAUGGCAGCAGAAAUGCUGCUGUCAAAACGCUGCUCCCUCCACAGUUUUCUCUAGGAUGGGUCCUAUGAAUGGAACCUGAAAUUUGUGACUGCUACAUGCUUUCUGUCAGAAAGCUGGAAUGAUGGGACUAAUAUCUUGGUUUUUAAAACAAAGGAAAAAAUGUAAAAUUUGGAAAAUAUUGAGUUUGUUGUUGAUCUUCACCUAAUCUGGAAUAAGUUAUCUGGUAGAGAUUUGUGGGCCCAUUUCAAAAGAAAAUAAUAUUCAUGAGUUGCAAGCAAAAGGCUCAGUUAGGAAUUUAUAGCUUGCAGCUUACUUUCUUUCAGGCGAGUAUGGUAUGCAAGGGAGGCAAUGAAUAAGCAUUUGUGAACUAAAUGAAGGCAGAUUUGAGGUAGUCAAUAGUAAUAAAAAUGUAUCCUGAAGUGGAAACGUAGAGACAAGAAAAGAAAAGCUGUUGGAUAAACAGAAAAAAAUAGAUUUUAAAAAAGAAAAAAAUCAGAAAUAAAUAUUUUAGUAUCUGGAAUGAUUGAAUGAUCACAAAUAAACACAAGAUUUAACUCCAAGAUGCCUAGAAACCAAAGCAAAAAAAGUAACUGUUAAAUUGUCUUGAUAUUUGGCAAAAAUAAAAGCAAAAACAAACAAACAUAGAAUUGUGCCUGAAUAGAUAUUAAAAAUAUUUUUUCUGGCAUUAAAUUCAGUGUGAAAUUUAUUGCAUGAAAAUUCUAUUCUACAAGGAACAACAAACAACACAGUAUGUUUCAAAAGAUAUAGACAAAUAGGCCUUUUAAUACUGAUUCUCUAUAAAAGUGAGCACUUCAUAUUGAAUCAUAACUCACUUAGAGAACUAUUAUAAUAUAGACUAGAAAAAUUUCGUUAGCAAUCCCAAAGGAAACAAAUAAAUACAUAAUGUGUCCUUUGGUUCAGAUCUCUCAAAUAUCAGAUCUAGGGAUGGAGUUUUAGAUCCUAUAACAUUGACAGACACCAGAAAUGUCCCGUUCUGUGGUUUUGAUGAGGGAGAAAGCUAAAUGCUUUAGAUAGCAGACAUGCAGAGGCAAAUUUAAUAUAAUGCUAUAAAACCUUAGGACUUUGAUAAAAAAUUAUCACCCGGAGAAGCAAUGUAUUGUAGAAAAAUAAGAGCCCAGGAUACCCUUCGCGUAGACUGGGUUUCAAAAUUGGACCCAAUGCUUGCUAUGUGACCAACUUGGCCAAAUUACUUCUCUCAGCCUCAGGAUUCUAUUUGCCAAAAUGUGAAUAAUGUGUCUUUUAAGGUUAACUGAGAAUUAGAAGACACAGUGUAGUAGGUACUAUUAGCUUCAGCUGUAAGUAGCAGAAAAAAAGACAAGAUAGCAAUGACUACAAUAAGGUAGAAGUUUAUUUUUCACUCCUCUUCUAGGCCAGGGACCAGACUCCUUCUAGCUUGUUGUUGUACCACACAUGGCUUCCAUUCCCAAGAUCACUUCAUGGCCCAAAAUGACUGCUGGAGUUCCCGAAUCACCUUCACAUCCCAGCAUGCAGGCAGGAAGAAGAACUGGAGAGGGCACAUUAAGAACACUUGUAUUUACAUCCCUCUGGCCAGAAUUUUGUCACAAGGUCUCACCUAGCCUCAGGGAAAGGGGAGAAAUGUCAUCUUUAUUCAGGACAACCCAGUUAAAUAUGGGACACCCAAUUAAGUCAGAAUUUUAGAUAAACAAUAGUUUUUUUAGCAUAAGUAUGUCUCAUGCACUAUUUGGAAAAUACACUUUUUUUUUUCACUGUUCAUUUGGGAUUCAAAUUUAAUUGGAUGUCCUAUAUUUUAUCUGGCAACUCUAACUAGCUAAGAAUCAAGGCUCCUGUUACUAAUCGAGGGUGAAGAAGCAUAGGGAAGAAGACUGAACAUUGAAGGAUAAUCAGAAGUCUCUGCCACAAAGUGAGACCCCACAAAGUGGGUGGCAUAAAUGUUGGUCCUCUCCUCCCUUUCCUUAUGAGGCAAGACAAAACCAGAAGGUGGUUGCAGGAAUAACUGCUGGUAGAGUCAACAUCUGUUUUUGAAAUAGAACCAACGUUUCUAUUUCAAUGGCUAGUUUAAGCACAUGAAACAUGUAUUUGGUUAAGAUUUCUGCUCUACUCAUGAAAGAGACAACUGUGGUAUGAAAAGCAACAUUAAUAAAAUCACUGCUUCUUUUUAAUUACAAAAAUGCUCAGUCUCAUCUCUGCAGAAAGUCUAUUUCUGAACACAUCUACAAGCGAAUGAACCCAUCAACUAAGCUGGUUGCAAGGAAACUUUCAUGUGAAAACAAAGGCCUGCAGGGUAUGGUUGGGGGUGCAAUGGUCUGACUGUGUUCCCCCAAAAUUCAUAUAUUGAAACCCUAAUCCCAAUGUGAUUAUAGUAGGAGGUGGAACCUUUAGGGGUGAUUAAGUCUUGAGGAUGGAGCCCCCAUGAAUGAGAUUGAUGCCCUUAUAAGAAGAGUCCAGGGAGCCAGCUUGCUGUCUUUCCUCAAUGUGAGAAUACAGAAAGAAGACGGCUAUCUGCAGCCCAGAAGAGAGCCCUCAUCAGAGCCCAGCCUUGUUUGCACCCCAAUCUAUCUCAGACCUCCAGCCUCCAAAACUGUAAGAAGUAAAUUUCUGUUGUUGAUGAGUUACCCAAUCUACAGUACUUUGUUAUGGCACCUGAACAGACUAAGACAGGAUAUAUUCAGUCUAUUACUUACCCACUUGCCCCCUACUGCAAAUAUUUUCACUUUUGUAUGGCCGACGUGAGAUUGUUCUGAUUGUUGUUAUCAGAUGUUUUAAUUUCUUCUCAAGGUCACUCUGAGUUCCUGACUCUAAAACCAUGACAUCAGUAUAAUGGAGGAAGUCCCCAAAUGCUGUAGAAGAGAAAUCAUGAGUUCAUUUUAGUUAAUAGCGGAAGCAGCUAAUUGUUCAUGAAGAAAUUGCCUAAAGAGAGGCAAUAUUCCUUUUUUUUUUUUUUUUUUAGUUUUCAACCAAGCUUUUAAUGAAAAGAUUAUAUGAUAACUAUUUUUCAUCACUGUACAUGAAGUCUGCAUGCUUCUGAAUGGAGAGAUCGAUCAUCCACGAAUUGCUUUUCUAUGACACUGGACGGCUAUGUAGCUGCAGCUCUGACCUGAAUUUAUACAAACUCUCGAGGGAUGCACACUCAAUGUAAUGAGUGACAGUGGUGGUGGCCAGUCAGAAGUGAGAUCCUGGUAUCCCUCCCCCUUUCUGGGAAGGGCAUAAAAUAGGACUGUUCCAGUUCCAAUUAAACAAAACAGGUGCCCCCUCCCUUUCCACUCCCCCUUGAGGUAUUUGUGAGAAUGAGCCAGUGCCCAGUUUAGGGCCUGCCAGGGGACAGGAGGAAGCUAGUGAUGGGUGGAGUACAGACAGGGGAAUCCCCUCAGUACCUGGCCCCACGGGGCCCCAUUUAGUGUAGCGAGAAAGCUCUGGGGAUUGAGAGGCAAUAUUCUUGAUCUGGGUUUUCUAUGGAUAGCUGUUUGACAGAGCCAUUGUCUUAUCAAUUUUAGCUUUUAUGUGUCCUAAAAUUACUAAAAGUUAACAUAUUUUACAACUAUAAAGCUCAGAAGAAUGUCAGAUUGAGUCUAUCUAUUUCUAGGAUAUGUGUAUAUCUUUGUAAGGUAAGAGACAAGAUGGCCUUGGGAGCAGGAUCAGCAUCAAUAUUUAAAGGAAUGAGUUACCAGAUAUGCAGAGCUGACCCACCAUUUUUAUACACUAGUAUGAAAGGAGAGGACACAGACUUGCUUCCCAUUAAGAGAUGGAUUCUUAAGGAGAGGCAAGUCUCUAUGUCUUCUUCUUUCCUUAAUUCCUCUCUUUUUGAAACUAAGCUGGUCAUAGUGACUUGCUUGACUAAUAAACUAUAGUGAAAAUGAUGUUCCAGGACUUCUGUGGUUAGGUCAUAGGAAGUGUUGUAGUUUCUGCCUGGGUCUCCUGAAACAUUCACUCUCAGAUUAGUCCCUCUUGGAACCAGGUGGCAUGUGGUAAGAAAGCCACGCCACAUGGAGAGGCCAUAAGGAGGUGCUCCAGCUGAGCUUCCAUCCCACAGCCAGUGUCAGCUGCCAGCUAUCUGAGUGUGCCAUCAUAGACCUGGAUCCCAAUCAAGCCUUCAGAUAAGUGCAGCCCCGGCCAACGUCUGACUGCAACUGUAAGAGAAAGCACAAAUGAGAAUCAUCUAGCUGAACCAAGUCAACCAUGAAACCAUGAUAAAUAAUAAAUUGUAGUUUUAAACAAUUACGUUUUGGGUGGCAUUUUAUGCAACUAUGGAUACUUAGAACAGAAUUUGGGACCUGGAGUGCUGCCAUAAUGAAAACUUAAUAUGUGGGACGUUGGCUUUGGGGACCAAGCAGCAGGAAGAAGCUGGGAGGUCCCUGAGGAAACUAUUAAUGAGAACUAGAGGGAAAAUGAGGACAUUGUUAUUGGAAGCUGGAAAAAGGCAUCCUUUGUUUUGUAAUGAUGGAUAAUUUGGUAUACUGUUGCUUUUCGUAAUAUGAAAAACAGAAAAUAUACCUAGGAAAUGGCAGAUUUGGCUAAGGGGACUUCCAGGCAGAAUGCUAAACAUGCUUCUCUUAGGCAAGUAUGGUAAAGUGUGAAUAUAGGGAAGUGAAAACCCCUCCUCCAAAAUGAACUAUUCAGCUUCAAGCAAAACUUAGAUGGAGUAUUAGAAGCCGGACUUGCUGGGUUUAGAAAUAAAGCUGCUUUUCAUUCCAAGCCUCUCCAGUUGGAAAAAAAGUUCUCAAAGUAAGACAUGAUAUAAGGUAAUGUUCAUCUCAAAGGUAUGGCUCUAAGACACUUGCUAAGAUUUUAGAAAUCUUUAAGGUGGCAUGCUGUCAGAAGCCCAGGCCACCUGGGGAGGUGGAAGUCUACCUCACAGACUUUGAAGGAAUCUGAAGGGCAUUAUUCCAUAGCAACUAACUCUCAGCCGAAGGCAGAAAGUGGCAUACCUUAAAGAGAUUUGUAGGUAUAUAUUUAACUAAUGAAGUAAAAUUUAAGAGAAUUAUACAUGUGGAAGCACCAUCAGCUUGAAAUAAAUAGGACAGAGGCAGUUCAAACUGUAGAGAGCUUUCUAUGGGUAGGAAGUAGGACAACAAGGCUGCCGAGCUACAAACAUAGUCAUUU